CACACACUCAUCAGGCUCAAAAUUUAUUUUUCAUUUCUUGCACUUGAAGUACUCUUCGAUGACAUCUUUGGCCUGAGAUUCCUUGCCAUAAUCUUUGACAACCACACAACUGCAGCCCACAACUUUGCGAGGUUUCCCUUCUCUGUCGAUCUUGCAGAGUCCUACCCAUUCACCCAGCUUUUUGUUGUCAUCAACCUUUAUCAGGUUGAUCUGGUGCUCUGCACAAAGUGCUUCAACUAGCUUUACAUACAUGGGCUCAUCACAAUUUGAAGCCAGGACACAGAGAUGGGCUUGGCGCUUGUCCAAGGCUUUGGCUGCUUCACGAAUACCACGAGCGAGGCCAUCAUGGAUAAGUGCGGUCUUCAGCACUUCUUGGAGGGCGGUGUUAACAUCCAUUACACCUCCAGCAGUAAUGCCUUCCUCGGCCAUGGCCCUCUCGGUGGGUGCCGCUCCCGCCCGGCUUCCCCGCUGCCGCCGCGAGCCACAAGCGA
This 491-nucleotide long non-coding RNA is filed under the name Gallus gallus (chicken). The record is from RNAcentral. Lineage: Eukaryota; Metazoa; Chordata; Aves; Galliformes; Phasianidae.